RNAcentral lists this ribosomal RNA (774 nucleotides) under uncultured Neocallimastigales. RNAcentral's name for it is "partial large subunit ribosomal RNA". It matches the Rfam family "Eukaryotic large subunit ribosomal RNA", at positions 22 to 621 of the family's 3401-position model. The record is from RNAcentral. Lineage: Eukaryota; Fungi; Neocallimastigomycota; Neocallimastigomycetes; Neocallimastigales.
UAUCAGUCAUGCAUAGCAUAUCAAUAAGCGGAGGAAAAGAAACUAACAAGGAUUCCCUUAGUAACGGCGAGUGAAGCAGGGAAGAGCUCAAAUUUGAAAUCUUCAAGGUUUUACCUUGACGAAUUGUAGUUUAAAGAAGUGUUUUCUGUUGAAGUUUUGGUAAAAGUUCUUUGGAAUAGGACAUCAUAGAGGGUGAGAAUCCCGUAUUUGACCAUUACUUUCAGCUUUGUGAUACACUUUCAAAGAGUCGGAUUGUUUGGGAAUGCAGUCCAAAAUGGGUGGUAAAUUUCAUCUAAAGCUAAAUAUUGGCGAGAGACCGAUAGCGAACAAGUACCGUGAGGGAAAGAUGAAAAGAACUUUGAAAAGAGAGUUAAACAGUACGUGAAAUUGUCAAAAGGGAAGCGUUUGACACCAGUGUUGUUUUCUCGAAAAUCAAUUAAAAAGAGUUGGAUUUUGUGUUGUAUUGACUUUAUCGGCUUUCUUCACUCUUUUCCAGCUUUUUUUAAUGCACUUUUCGUUUAACAAGUCAACAUCAGUUUCUUUUGUUGUAAAAAGGUCAUUGGAAGGUGGCUUUCUCUUCGGAGAAAGUGUUUAUAGCCUUUGACUCAUGCAAUCGGAGAGACUGAGGUCUGCAGCGUAGAUCCUUCGGGGUUAGAUACAUUUGUGCUAAGUUAUAGCUUUUCAUAGACAACUUGUUGACUAUGUUUAGUCUUGUAGCUUACUCGCUUAUGCUAUUUUACCUACGCUUAGGAUGUUGAACUCUAUCACACACAG